Molecule: long non-coding RNA, 191 nt
Organism: Helianthus annuus (common sunflower)
Lineage: Eukaryota; Viridiplantae; Streptophyta; Magnoliopsida; Asterales; Asteraceae
Exons: 2
Source: RefSeq, a predicted model, not a curated record
AAAGGUAAAGUUACUUCUGAGAGAAAGGAGAUGGUCAAGAAUAGAACUAAGGGAAAUGCUGCCUUACCUGUCGACACAAGUGAUCAUAUUGGAUGUUCUUCAUCUGUUCAUAAAGUUAAGGGGAAGAGAGCCGCCAACGUUCAGAAAAAGCUUAACCGUAGAAAUAAGAUUGCAAAGACUGCAAAAAAAAA